Pseudophryne corroboree (corroboree frog) is the source of this 601-nucleotide long non-coding RNA. RefSeq lists it as uncharacterized. The record is from RefSeq and is a predicted model, not a curated record. NCBI's taxonomy places the organism in Eukaryota, Metazoa, Chordata, Amphibia, Anura, Myobatrachidae. The transcript has 3 exons.
CAAGUGUCACGUGCUAUAAAACACAAGCUCUAUGUGACGUCUGGGAGCAGAUUUUCCUCCUGCCUGUGACAGUGAGGAUGAGGCAUGAAGAGGCACAAUGCAAUUCUGCAGCAAAGUUCCCAGCUGUCAGUGUUGCUCUUGUGUUAUUAAUGAGUCUAGGGGCCCCGGUCCCCAUGGCAACACUUUGCAUACUGUAUGAUGAAACAAAUGUAGCAUUUUGUAAUUUUCAAGAGAACCAAAACAAGGGCUUCUCUCUUUCCCACCUCUGGUCCACAGUCAGUGACACCUAUUGGGGAUGGCUGGAUAUUGCAUGAACAAGAUGAAGUCCGAUGGCCCAUGCUACAUCAUGUUGAGCAGACCCAUACUGAUGCAGAUGCCCAGGAGGACAACAGUAGAGACAUCUAUUUAUGACAAUGGAGCAUCGUUACCAAGUACGCUGGGACCCUGCAAUGAUGGUGGGGCUACUGCUGGUUCCUUGUUAGAGAGACCAAUGAGACACUGUACAAACGGAAAGCAUCAACAUCCUAUUUCCCUACAGCAAAGUCACUUUACAUAAUUACAUUUUAUCUUUUAUUAACAAUUACAUUACGGCUAUUUUGAA